CGGCAGUAAUGAGAGUGCCAGACAAAUUUGACCUUCCCGGCAUCAAUGGGACAGAUGACAGGAAAAUAGACCAAACUGCAUGCAACAUGGGGAAAGUGGGGCAAGAUAAGGGAUUGGGCCAUCCUUGGUGUUUUCAGCUUUCUCCCGUGGGACACUUAGCGGUUUAAAAUAAUUCGCAAUGUCACCCUUCAUCCUCGGAUGGAUGUAUCAGCAUUUUUUUUUUCCCCAUAAGUGGACGCACAGAUGAAGCCUUCUGCACAAUUAGCAAAACCGGUCACAUCGUGAACAUCGCAGCAAACAAUGAAAAAGCUCGAGAAUUCCUCCCUUGCAUCCUCCCACCAGCCAGCCUCAAAAUACUGCUUGUAAGGCAUAACACCCACUUCAAUCAUGUCAGCUGCUAAUCAUUAAUUGCUUCAGAAAAAGACAAUAUUUUACCCAUCCUCUUUGGAGUUCGAGUGUGAAUGGGGAAGCGAAAGAGAGGGAAAGUGAGUGAAACAUGAAAAGCUUGAUUUGUUAGGACCCCUGCUGUCUGAAAGGAGAUCAAAGCUCAGAGGGAGGCUGUAAAACAGCAGAACGCCCAGGACUGAAACAUGGCCCGUGGCAGCUGCUCCGGGCGCAGACUCGCAACCCAGGUGUGCCCCGACUCCACUCUGCCAGCUGAAUCCUGGGAGCGGGCUACUGCGCUGUUCCUUCAUUAUUUCAGAGGCAGUCACGGAGGAGAUGCCGGCUCCAUCCAUCACAAUGCACAAAUUCGCAGCGCGCGGAUUCAGCACAGGCCUAAUUAAAGCUUUUCCUUUCAUUUGUGGAGAUAAUUAGACUUUCAUCUCACCAGGAAGCUUCAGAAAGAUCUAUUUCUUUCUUCAAUAAAAGCUACAUCAAACAAAAGCAGAUUUUAAUCGCCUUUUCUUUGGGGCAUGAGUCAAUAAUGAAAGAUGUCAGGGGUAACAAAAAAUUGUGUGCAGAGGAAAAAAAAAGGGAGAGGAGGAAAAAAAAUGCAGAUGUGAGAAAAAAUACUUCUGUGGGACCUAGAUGAGCCAGCAUGUGGAACCAAGGUUGGAGGCAGAGGAUUCAAGAGCGAGUCUAUCUUGGAAGAAGUCCUGAAAGCAAGUCUGUGCUGCCAUGCUGCUGCUGCUGCUAAGUCAAAUCAGUCGUGUCCGACUCUCUGCAACCCCAUAGAAGGCAGCCCACCAGGCUCCACCGUCCCUGAGAUUCUCCAGGCAAGAACAAUGGAGUGGGUUGAAUUCUCCAUGCUGAACACCUACUUCCUGCAGGCAGUCUUCAGAUAAUAAUAUUUUCCCCAGCUUUUUCAAGACCCCAGUCUUUUUCAUUGAUGCAUCCCAGGGUGUCAAUUUCCCAACUAAGAUACAGAAAUUAAGAGACAGAAAUGAACUGUAAUUCACAUAGUUCACAUGUGGGCAGGGCUUCCCUGUGUAUGUUAUCAAGUAAUAACAAAAUGUCAAAGAUUGAAAAUGGACUAUUAUAGGAAAUAAGAAUAAUUUUGUGAUAAAUCCAAACAGUUUUGUACACAGAAGUUCCUAACCAUUUAUGGCAUGCUGAGAACUCAAAGUUAGCAGGAGAAAUAUGACCCUCCAUGGAUCCUGCCAUUAAUUUAAAACUGUUGUUGUUAGCUCAUCACUUAUUGGGUUGGCCAAAAUGUUGGUUCAGGUUUUCCAUAACAUCUUAUGGAGAAAGCUGAUCAAACUUUUUAUCCUAUUCAGUACAUAUUUGUCUUUAAGACUGUAAAUUUUCUGCUGAUGAUAAAAUCUUGUCUUAUAUUAUCAACCCAAGUCAUUAAAAAGGAAAAAAAAAAUCUUUAUCAAUCCAUCAACAAUUCAGUUCUCA
Molecule: long non-coding RNA, 1842 nt
Organism: Bubalus bubalis (water buffalo)
Lineage: Eukaryota; Metazoa; Chordata; Mammalia; Artiodactyla; Bovidae
Exons: 3
Source: RefSeq, a predicted model, not a curated record